CGAGUUUCCACACUGAUUAUUCUAGAUUUGUCAGCAACCUUUGUUAACAUGAACCAUUAAGUUUUGUUGAUUCAUUUGCAGAUACUGGCAAGGAUGGCCAAAUAUCAGUGUAGUGACUCUGGUCUCUCCUCCAUAGGAGGUCUCAGAGGGUGAUGUUGGACAAUUGCUCAUCUGCCCAGAGGAUUCUCAUGAAUUACUGCAGUAUAAGUGGCUGAAGGGAAGGGGCAGAUCCCGGAGCCACCAAUCCCCUCCAUGUUUCUGAUGGCCAUGCUCUGCCUACACCACAGCUGCCAUAACUGCUGUGAUCACAAGGGCAAGGCCUGCCUUUCACGGUGAUGUUUCAGCAGCAUGAAAACCACUUACCAUCCCUGAAAAAAAGAUUGCAAACUGUGAGCUGAGAAGAAAGAAUAAUGAACUAAUUCCCUUUGCCUUCUUGGAUUCUUGACCUUGCAAAGUAUUAUUCUCCCACUUUUUUUAAGUGUAUUUCUCUGUUCUCAUUCUACUGAUGAAUAAAAUUAAGACUGCCCCAAAUAUGCUGGCAUCUCAGAAUUUAGUACCACUUUUAGG
Molecule: long non-coding RNA, 567 nt
Organism: Gallus gallus (chicken)
Lineage: Eukaryota; Metazoa; Chordata; Aves; Galliformes; Phasianidae
Source: Ensembl